This 995-nucleotide ribosomal RNA is filed under the name uncultured bacterium. RNAcentral's name for it is "bacterial SSU rRNA". It matches the Rfam family "Bacterial small subunit ribosomal RNA", at positions 324 to 1335 of the family's 1533-position model. The record is from RNAcentral.
ACACGGCCCAAACUCCUACGGGAGGCAGCAGUGGGGAUUAUUGCACAAUGGGCGAAAGCCUGAUGCAGCGACGCCGCGUGAGCGAAGAAGUAUUUCGGUAUGUAAAGCUCUAUCAGCAGGGAAGAUAAUGACGGUACCUGACUAAGAAGCACCGGCUAAAUACGUGCCAGCAGCCGCGGUAAUACGUAUGGUGCAAGCGUUAUCCGGAUUUACUGGGUGUAAAGGGAGCGCAGGCGGUGCGGCAAGUCUGAUGUGAAAGCCCGGGGCUCAACCCCGGUACUGCAUUGGAAACUGUCGUACUAGAGUGUCGGAGGGGUAAGCGGAAUUCCUAGUGUAGCGGUGAAAUGCGUAGAUAUUAGGAGGAACACCAGUGGCGAAGGCGGCUUACUGGACGAUAACUGACGCUGAGGCUCGAAAGCGUGGGGAGCAAACAGGAUUAGAUACCCUGGUAGUCCACGCCGUAAACGAUGAAUAAUAGGUGUUGGGAAGGCAAUGCUUCUUGGUGCCGUCGCAAACGCAGUAAGUAUUCCACCUGGGGGGUACGUUCGCAAGAAUGAAACUCAAAAGGAAUUGACGGGGACCCGCACAAGCGGUGGAGCAUGUGGUUUAUUUUGAAGCAACGCGAAGAACCUUACCAAGUCAUGACAUCUUUCUGACCGGGAGUUGACGGAACAUUCUUUUUUGAGCAGGAGAGACAGGUGGUGCAUGGUUGUCGUCAGCUGGUGUCGUGAGAUGUUGGGUUAAGUCCCGCAACGAGCGCAACCCUCAUCUUUAGUAGCCAGCGGUUCGGCCGGGCACUCUAGAGAGACUGCCAGGGAUAACAUGGAGGAAGGCGGGGAGGACGUCAAAUCAUCAUGCCCCUUAUGACUGGGGCUGCACACGAGGUGCAAUGGGGUAAACAAAGGGAAGCAAAGCUGUGAAGCCGAGCAAAUGUCAAAAAUAAGGUAUCAGUUCGGACGGUAGUAUGCAACCAGACUACAGGAAGCAGGAAUAGU